This is a small nucleolar RNA of Protopterus annectens (West African lungfish), 134 nucleotides long. RefSeq annotates it as small nucleolar RNA SNORA27. The record is from RefSeq and is a predicted model, not a curated record. Lineage: Eukaryota; Metazoa; Chordata; Ceratodontiformes; Protopteridae. The transcript has a single exon.
UAACCCCUUCUCACUUUGCUAGCAGAGUACUUUUGAUGUACCUGUUGGUCAUUCAGAUGGGGAAAAGUGAGCAUCCAUUUUAAAACCCAAGCAUGCUGGUUUGUAUGGCUUGGUUCCUGUCAUUGGAAACAUUU